GCCUUGGCAGGAGCUGCUAUUGGAGGCGAAGACAUCCUACAGAAUAUGAUGCAGCAUCUAUUGCCAAAAUCAGAAAGCCUUUUCUUGAGCCAUGGCAUCAAUGAGAUCAAAUUGAUGGGAUUGCUUCGAGUUGCAACCCAAGAUGCAAUCCACAGGCUUUCUUCCCAGAACAGUGUUCAGGUUGAUGUGGAUUUGGGAAAUGGGAAAAAGUUAUGCAACAUAAUUACUCGGGAGGAAUUUGAGGAAGUGAACCAUAAGGUGUUUGAAAAGUGUGAGAACCUCAUAAAGCAGUGCUUACAAGACUCAAAAGUAGACAUAGAGG
RNAcentral lists this unclassified non-coding RNA (322 nucleotides) under Hevea brasiliensis (rubber tree). Lineage: Eukaryota; Viridiplantae; Streptophyta; Magnoliopsida; Malpighiales; Euphorbiaceae. The record is from RNAcentral.